CCUACGGGAGGCAGCAGUGGGGAAUAUUGGGCAAUGGGCGCAAGCCUUACCCAGCAAUACCGCGUGCGUGAAGAAGGUCUUCGGAUUGUAAAGCUCUUUGAUCAGGGACGAACAGAUGACGGUACCUGAAGAACAAGCCCCGGCUAACUACGUGCCAGCAGCCGCGGUAAAACGUAGGGGGCGAGCGUUUUCCGGAAUGACUGGGCGUAAAGGGUGCGUAGGCGGCAUAAUAAGUUAGAAGUGAAAUACCCAGGGCUUAACUCGGGUGCUGCUUCUAAGACUGUUGAGCUUGAGUGCGGGGGAGGUUAAUGGAAUUCGUAGUGUAGCGGUGGAAUGCGUAGAUAUUAGGAGGAACACCAGAGGCGAAGGCGAUUAACUGGACCGUAACUGACGCUGAGGCACGAAAGUGUGGGUAGCAAACAGGAUUAGAUACCCUAGUAGUC
RNAcentral lists this ribosomal RNA (443 nucleotides) under uncultured bacterium. Its description in RNAcentral is "partial 16S ribosomal RNA". It matches the Rfam family "Bacterial small subunit ribosomal RNA", at positions 338 to 795 of the family's 1533-position model. The record is from RNAcentral.